GAGCCACAUCCCCAGCUCAUGAGCUGUUGUUUCUAAACUAAGCUGUCAGUAUUCAGGUUCAACUACAGUGUUGGCACUUUGCGAUAUAGGGGCCACCAGGACACAUCACACUUAGCUAUCACAUCUCCUGAGGCUCUGCUGAGCCUUCGACAGGUUCUCAGAUGCUCCUGGCUUCUGAGGAACAUGGUACUUUGUGGAGCAGGCACAGAGGUCAGAAGCACACACUGCUCCACUGUCACCUGCCUGUGGAGUGCCCAUCGGGUC
Molecule: long non-coding RNA, 264 nt
Filed under: Heterocephalus glaber (naked mole-rat)
Lineage: Eukaryota; Metazoa; Chordata; Mammalia; Rodentia; Bathyergidae
Description: lncRNA (ENSHGLG00000047244.1)
Source: RNAcentral